UUUGUUUGUUUAAAUAACAAGUCUAUUCUAUUUAUAAGGCAGUGGAUAUUAUUUACAAACGGUAUUGUUUUUAUGCUUGAUUUAACAUUUUAUCGUUAUUUAUCAAUUUGAUGUGUGUUGGAUUAAAUUCUAUUCAAUAUAAGUGUUUUUUUAUGUUUUACUUUUAAUUUUGUCUUUUAUUUCGGAUAUAUCCCAAGAGCCAACAGUCCCGAUCAGUACAUAAACAUGUUACCUGUGUGAAAACAUACAUCAACUAGUACAAAAUUUAAUUUUCAUACGCGAACUUUCAAAAUUUAGUUUUAUCAUACAUUGACUUAAUUUUCGUUAGUCAAACGUUGAGUUGCCGUUAACCAGUAACAGAAAAUCGGCUAAUUCCUAC
RNAcentral lists this long non-coding RNA (379 nucleotides) under Brassica napus (rape). Its description in RNAcentral is "long non-coding RNA (BNAP_LNC004159)". The record is from RNAcentral. Lineage: Eukaryota; Viridiplantae; Streptophyta; Magnoliopsida; Brassicales; Brassicaceae.